Molecule: ribosomal RNA, 550 nt
Filed under: uncultured bacterium
Lineage: Bacteria
Description: bacterial SSU rRNA
Rfam family: Bacterial small subunit ribosomal RNA
Source: RNAcentral
AGCGGCGGACGGGUGAGUAAUGCCUGGGAAUAUGCCCUGAUGUGGGGGAUAACUAUUGGAAACGACAGCUAAUACCGCAUAAUCUCUUCGGAGCAAAGAGGGGGACCUUCGGGCCUCUCGCGUCAGGAUUAGCCCAGGUGGGAUUAGCUUGUUGGUGAGGUAAUGGCUCACCAAGGCAACGAUCCCUAGCUGGUCUGAGAGGAUGAUCAGCCACACUGGAACUGAGACACGGUCCAGACUCCUACGGGAGGCAGCAGUGGGGAAUAUUGCACAAUGGGGGAAACCCUGAUGCAGCCAUGCCGCGUGUGUGAAGAAGGCCUUCGGGUUGUAAAGCACUUUCAGUCGGGAGGAAGGUAGUGUAGUUAACACCUGCAUUAUUUGACGUUACCUACAGAAGAAGCACCGGCUAACUCCGUGCCAGCAGCCGCGGUAAUACGGAGGGUGCGAGCGUUAAUCGGAAUUACUGGGCGUAAAGCGCAUGCAGGCGGCCUGUUAAGUCAGAUGUGAAAGCCCGGGGCUUAACCUCGGAAUUGCAUUUGAAACUGGCAGG